GAACUCUUGCUUGGAGCAUCUCUUCUCAGCACAUUGGCGUUUGAUGAUCUGAGACGGGCAAGAGCGACACACAUACUGAAAGAGGGGACAAAGCCCGCCUUCCAUGGAUGCUAAGAAAGAGGUCAGCUCCGCCCCCCGCCCCACCCCAGGCUGCUGCCCCUGCACAGGGACUCUUUAGGGUCACAAACAGUGAAGAAAAAGUGGAGGAAACACCACGUGGGAGGUUCCUGGGUUGAUUUACCCCUGUCUUCAGCUGUGUGACCUCAGGCAAGAAUAAGCAGCUGACAAGUUGGAAGCAACGAUGGGGGGUGGGCCUGGCGACACAGCUGCGGAGUCCCUUCCUCCCCCUGGAACCACCUUCAGCUGCUGCAGAUCUCUUUCCAGGAAGGCUGCUUCUCCUUUCCCUCCAGCCUAGAUCUGAAACUCAGUGAUGAAUUUCUGCUGCUUUCAGAAACAAUUCAAGUUUCCCUUGUGUAUUUCACGGCAAGAAAAGAAACUCAUUCAGAUCACCUGCUCUGCUCUCCUCCUUGUAAAUGACAAUUCAAAUGCAAAAAUCCCAUUUUUCUCUAAGGUCCAGAACAGGGUAGAGAAGAUAGUUUUUCUGUCCCUGCAUACAUUUCAAACCCGCCCCCCCACCCCGGCCUUUUUUUUUCUCUAAAAUAACACUUGGGAAGUUCUUUGUGCCUGUUC
This is a long non-coding RNA of Bos taurus (domestic cattle), 690 nucleotides long. Lineage: Eukaryota; Metazoa; Chordata; Mammalia; Artiodactyla; Bovidae. The record is from Ensembl.